GCAUAUCAAUAAGCGGAGGAAAAGAAAACAACAGGGAUUGCCCUAGUAACGGCGAGUGAAGCGGCAACAGCUCAAAUUUGAAAUCUGGCGCAAGCCCGAGUUGUAAUUUGUAGAGGAUGCUUCUGGGCAGCGGCCGGUCUAAGUUCCUUGGAACAGGACGUCAUAGAGGGUGAGAAUCCCGUAUGCGACCGGUUGGCACCCGUCACGUAGCUCCUUCGACGAGUCGAGUUGUUUGGGAAUGCAGCUCUAAAUGGGAGGUAAAUGCCUUGUAAAGCUAAAUACCGGCUGGAGACCGAUAGCGCACAAGUAGAGUGAUCGAAAGAUGAAAAGCACUUUGGAAAGAGAGUUAAAAAGCACGUGAAAUUGUUGAAAGGGAAGCGCAUGCAACCAGACUUGUCGGCGGUGUUCCGCCGGUCUUCUGACCGGUCUACUCGCCGUCGGCAGGCCAGCAUCAUCUGGGCGCGCCGGACAAAGGCGUCGGGAAUGUGGCUCCCUCGGGAGUGUUAUAGCCCGGCGUGCAAUACGGCGCCGCCCGGGUGAGGUCCGCGCUUCGGCUAGGAUGCUGGCGUAAUGG
Molecule: ribosomal RNA, 574 nt
Filed under: Fodinomyces uranophilus
Lineage: Eukaryota; Fungi; Ascomycota; Dothideomycetes; Mycosphaerellales; Teratosphaeriaceae
Description: partial large subunit ribosomal RNA
Rfam family: Eukaryotic large subunit ribosomal RNA
Source: RNAcentral